Molecule: long non-coding RNA, 955 nt
Filed under: Homo sapiens (human)
Lineage: Eukaryota; Metazoa; Chordata; Mammalia; Primates; Hominidae
Description: non-protein coding lnc-CIT-11:5
Source: RNAcentral
AGGCCCUGCUGGUUGAGCUGGGAGACUCAGUCCCAAGGCUUUGAACAGACACGUAAUUUCAAUGAUGUUGGGGUUGGGGGGACCAUAAGCUCGCACAAUCCUAAAUCCCAGCCCCAAGGAGGCCUAGGGAGAGCCUGAGGCUCGAAUGAGUAAGAAUGGGAGUGGGAACGAGGAUGAAGGUGGGUCCCCCUUGCCCCCUGGCCUCACCUGGUUAUCCUCCGGGCCUCCAGGUGGCUCGGGGAGUCUCUCCGGCGCUUUCUCAUAGGCGAGUAGGACCGACGUCUCCGACGCGCUCGCUCGCGCUCCCGCUGCUGCGAGUCCUUCUCACUGUAUUUGGGAUCCCGCUCCCUGAAGGGGCGCGGGGGGUUACUGGGGAGCUGGGGCUGGGCUGGAUUUUCUGCGUGAGCGCGUGGGAGAGGGACACUCCCUUUCUUUCCCACCCCACUGGGUCACGGGAUGGGGUCUGCACGUUGCCGCAAGGGAGACCGGAGGGAGGAUGACGGGGCUGCGAUGCCACAUCUUUCUCAACUCUGGAGUUCAAUGGUAACACAUGUAUCUCCACCACCUCUGUCAGGAAUGUAUCAUGCCAGGCAACUAGACCCUGAGAUCUGCGAUCUCUGGCUUGGGCUUGGUACAAAGAUGGGAUCAUGGAAUCUUUGCCCCAGAGAUGGUGAGUGGUUGGUAGCCAGUGUAUUACAAGUGAAUCCAACAAGCCCAUCCUGGAGGGAGCUAGGCUGGAAGAACUCAAGGACAGGGGCCUGUGGUAGGAGCAUUUUCACAAAGUCAUCAUCAGAGAUAUUCAGAUAGUUUAAUGGUCUCCUAAACCCCAGACUCCACCUUCUGCAGAGCUCUCCAUUCACUCCACAAGAAGAGGAGGAAAGAAGAUACAAUUGAGGGAAGCCCAAGACAGGAUGGGAGAGGUCUGACCGUGGAAGUGCAGAGGAGACAUUAGAGU